CAUCCAUUAGUGAAAAUGCUGCUGCGGGUUUACGGCGAUGGGUGUGUUGUGUAUUUUUAAGAACAUUGGCAGGUAGCGCAAGCAAGCUAUUAGGUUUCGGGGCUGUUGUGUGCAUCUUAGCAUGUUCAGCAGAAUCCUUGGUCUCUACCCAUCAGACACCAUUAGCAAAUUCCCAGUCAACCAAAAUGUCUCCAGACAUUGUCAAAUGUCCCCUGGAAUGGAAAAAUCAGACCAGCUGAGAACCACUGAGCUAGAGGUCCUGCCCCCCUUCAAGCCGUCUGGGCAGAUAACGCCAAUGGAAGACUCCAUGAAGAUUGAACUUAGAAGGAAAAACCAAAACUGUGCUCUCUGGGGUCCAAGUACCUUUAUUGAUCCAUUUCCUGACCCCUCAAGACAGAGCUGGGUACCAGAAGAUGACAUUACUUCACUACCGGCUAAAGCGAGAGAUGAGCACCAGACACCCGGAUGCAAGCCAAAGAUGGCAAGGAGUAGAAUUUUCUGCAGUAGCAGCUGAAAGAGAGAGAGCAGACCUUGAGGCGCCAGAGGUCAAAUGCGAGCCAUAUAUCAUUGGUCUGUUUUCUUACCAUUAAAUCCACAUCUUGCCCAAUGCCUGGCACAUAA
This is a long non-coding RNA of Equus quagga, 621 nucleotides long. RefSeq lists it as uncharacterized. The transcript is spliced from 3 exons. The record is from RefSeq and is a predicted model, not a curated record. Lineage: Eukaryota; Metazoa; Chordata; Mammalia; Perissodactyla; Equidae.